This 440-nucleotide ribosomal RNA is filed under the name uncultured bacterium. Its description in RNAcentral is "partial 16S ribosomal RNA". It matches the Rfam family "Bacterial small subunit ribosomal RNA", at positions 338 to 795 of the family's 1533-position model. The record is from RNAcentral.
CCUACGGGUGACAGCAGUGGGGAAUAUUGCACAAUGGGGGAAACCCUGAUGCAGCGACGCCGCGUGAGUGAAGAAGUAUUUCGGUACGUAAAGCUCUAUCAGCAGGGAAGAAAAUGACGGUACCUGACUAAGAAGCCCCGGCUAACUACGUGCCAGCAGCCGCGGUAAUACGUAGGGGGCAAGCGUUAUCCGGAUUUACUGGGUGUAAAGGGAGCGUAGGCGGCAGCGCAAGUCUGGAGUGAAAUCCCAUGGCUUAACCAUGGAACUGCCUUGGAAACUGUGCAGCUAGAGUGCAGGAGAGGUAAGCGGAAUUCCUAGUGUAGCGGUGAAAUGCGUAGAUAUUAGGAGGAACACCAGGGGCGAAGGCGGCUUACUGGACUGUAACUGACGUUGAGGCUCGAAAGCGUGGGGAGCAAACAGGAUUAGAUACCCCAGUAGUC